GUUCACUCUUAUUUUCCGUUUUAUCCAAGUCUAUCAUGACCUGGUCAAUCUGAGAUUGAAGAGUUGGAUCCAUACCAACCAAUGCCACUGAAAUUUUCUCAUUAAUAUUCUUGACAGCUCUAUUCACACUAUUUCCAAGAUAAGUUCCUUUUUCUCCAUCACGUAGUUCAAUCGCCUCAUACAUUCCAGAAGAAGCACCACUGGGAGCAGAAGCACGGAAGAGUCCUUUGUUAGUAUGCAAAUCAACUUCGACGGUCGGAAUCCCUCUACUAUCCAAUAUCUGCCGGGCUUUCACCUUAGUUAUCACCGAAGGUACAGCUUUCCUCAUGUGAUUCGAAAUGAAGAGGACGGGAUCGGAAGUUUUAGCUCUAACGGCGGCAUUGACAGCGUCUUCGAUUCUCCGAGAUAGCAAGUGCUUAUCCAGAUAUUCCUGCACCGACA
Molecule: unclassified non-coding RNA, 441 nt
Filed under: Hevea brasiliensis (rubber tree)
Lineage: Eukaryota; Viridiplantae; Streptophyta; Magnoliopsida; Malpighiales; Euphorbiaceae
Source: RNAcentral